RNAcentral lists this ribosomal RNA (435 nucleotides) under Aerococcus viridans. RNAcentral's name for it is "bacterial SSU rRNA". It matches the Rfam family "Bacterial small subunit ribosomal RNA", at positions 44 to 476 of the family's 1533-position model. Lineage: Bacteria; Bacillati; Bacillota; Bacilli; Lactobacillales; Aerococcaceae. The record is from RNAcentral.
AUGCCUAAUACAUGCAAGUCGAGCGAACAGAUGAAGUGCUUGCACUUCUGACGUUAGCGGCGAACGGGUGAGUAACACGUAAGGAAUCUACCUAUAAGCGGGGGAUAACAUUCGGAAACGGGUGCUAAUACCGCAUAAUAUCUUCUUCCGCAUGGAAGAAGAUUGAAAGACGGCUCUGCUGUCACUUAUAGAUGACCUUGCGGUGCAUUAGUUAGUUGGUGGGGUAACGGCCUACCAAGACGAUGAUGCAUAGCCGACCUGAGAGGGUGAUCGGCCACAUUGGGACUGAGACACGGCCCAAACUCCUACGGGAGGCAGCAGUAGGGAAUCUUCCGCAAUGGGCGAAAGCCUGACGGAGCAAUGCCGCGUGAGUGAAGAAGGCCUUCGGGUCGUAAAACUCUGUUAUAAGAGAAGAACAAAUUGUAGAGUAACUGC